AAUUCAUUGACCCUAGCAAGACUACCAAAAGCGAAAGCAGUUGGCUAGGCUAUACUCUUUGUUGAUAAUUAAUUAAUUAAUCUCUCUCUCUCUCUCUGAUGCUCAUACGUACGCUCAAGCGCUUAUCAUUCAUCAUCAUACUCUGUGAUUCUCGCCACUCACACAUACGUUAACCUUUUUGCGAGUCUCUGAAACCAGAGUUUGUUUGUUGUUGUUAUGUGCGAUGAGACGUGAGCCCGAAUGAGAGAGAGAGCUUGUGAGUUAAUAAUAGCAUAUUAAUUAUCACUUCACAAUGAAGAACGAAGGUUGGGGGAUCAAAGAGGAUCAGAUACCCUCGUCGUCCCAUUAAUUACAUCAAACGAUGGGUUCUCAAUUGCAAUUUCUUUUUAUAGAUAUUUGCAUUAAUGACCUCAGCCUACUAAAUUUAUAACUAAGUAUAACUUGGCUUGAGCUCGUAUUUCGAUACGCUCGCCAUAUCUACAUUAGCUUUAAUUUAUGUACGGUCUCAAUUGAAGACAUUAUGCAUUCUGUUAUGUAUUCUAUGCGUGUCUCGCAAUUCACAGACUCAUUCACACAUUGCAACAUUAUUCUCAAUGUUUGUACUGUUAUGUAGUCUAUGCGACACUUGACUUUCGGAGCUUUGCGCUCAAUUCUGGUGAGAUGUAAGCAUCUAUGUUAAUGAUACCCGCAGCGUAUACCUUUGGGUAUUUCGUCUGUCGUGUUUGUAUCUUAACAAUUAAUAAUAAUGAUGUGAAGCACGCUUUAGGCACGCGCUUACUGCAGAAAUGUCUGAGACAUUCCCCUCCGGGGGUAGUAUGCACGCAAGUGUGAAACUUGAAGGAAUUGACGGAAGGGCACCACAAGAACGCGUGGAGCAUGUGGCUUAAUUU
RNAcentral lists this ribosomal RNA (890 nucleotides) under Rosalina orbicularis. RNAcentral describes it as "bacterial SSU rRNA". It matches the Rfam family "Eukaryotic small subunit ribosomal RNA", at positions 638 to 1196 of the family's 1831-position model. The record is from RNAcentral. Lineage: Eukaryota; Foraminifera; Rotaliida; Rosalinidae.